CGACCGGCGCACGGGUGAGUAACGCGUAUCCAACCUUCCCAUUACUGUGGGAUAACCUGCCGAAAGGCAGACUAAUACCACAUAGUCUUCGAUGACGGCAUCAGAUUUGAAGUAAAGAUUUAUCGGUAAUGGAUGGGGAUGCGUCUGAUUAGCUUGUUGGUGGGGUAACGGCCCACCAAGGCGACGAUCAGUAGGGGUUCUGAGAGGAAGGUCCCCCACAUUGGAACUGAGACACGGUCCAAACUCCUACGGGAGGCAGCAGCG
Molecule: ribosomal RNA, 264 nt
Filed under: uncultured Prevotella sp.
Lineage: Bacteria; Pseudomonadati; Bacteroidota; Bacteroidia; Bacteroidales; Prevotellaceae
Description: partial 16S ribosomal RNA
Rfam family: Bacterial small subunit ribosomal RNA
Source: RNAcentral